RNAcentral lists this ribosomal RNA (253 nucleotides) under uncultured bacterium. Its description in RNAcentral is "partial 16S ribosomal RNA". It matches the Rfam family "Bacterial small subunit ribosomal RNA", at positions 524 to 776 of the family's 1533-position model. The record is from RNAcentral.
UACGUAGGGGGCAAGCGUUGUCCGGAAUCAUUGGGCGUAAAGCGCGUGUAGGCGGCUCGGUAAGUCUGCUGUGAAAGUCCAGGGCCCAACCCUGGGAUGCCGGUGGAUACUGUCGAGCUCGAGUCCGGAAGAGGCGAGUGGAAUUCCUGGUGUAGCGGUGAAAUGCGCAGAUAUCAGGAGGAACACCAAUGGCGAAGGCAGCUCGCUGGGACGUGACUGACGCUGAGACGCGAAAGCGUGGGGAGCAAACAGG